CGAAAAAUCCACUGAGCCCCAUAUUGAAGAUGACGUACUCGAGGUGAAGUAGCAGAGAAGCAGAAGGAAGAUGACGUACUUGAGGGACACCUCUCCGGAGAGCCGAGGGCUGUGCAAUUGUUUGUCGGGGCUAGCAUAGGCGAACCUCUGCCGGUGUGAUCACCCUGCGAGGAAGAUCACGCUGGAGUUCUGGAGCUAGAAGUCAUCAAGAUUAAGGUAGGAUCCCGGUGGUGAUCUUGUGAUGUACAAUCAUUCAUGAUGAAGUAAUAGAUAUGUUCAUGUUCUUAGCGAUCUAAGUAUCUCCUUUCAUGAUUUUAUGCUUUAUCGGGUUUGCUUGCUUUUCAAUCUAUGAAUCGAUGAUAGAUUGGCUAGGGUGUUCUUGUGGUCGUGGUGACCAAAUUUGCAUGCUUGAUCUACCGAUGAGUAUGACAUGUUCUUAUGAUCAUGCCCUUAACCUGCUUGCGCUUAUAGAGGUGAUCGGAUCUUUCUUGUGUAAGGUGGGGUUUUUAUGAUCCGGACUGGAGGUGUAGAUUUGAAGAUAUUUUUUUUACUAAGAUCAUAUAUGUGUUGCUUUGCUACCCAUGCUCAGAAUUAGAACAUAUACAUAGUCUAGGUUGCUUUAGAUUGGUUACCUUUGCUCUAUCUGUUAUCUGUCUGUACAUGCUUAGUUGAUUGGGUCUGAAUCUCUCAUAAACACCAAGUUAAUACUAACAACACUAGUUGAAAUAGAUCUUGUGCUAUAAGUUCCACGGCUUGAUAAACCUUGGAGGAAUACUCUGAGGGAAGAGCUACAGCUGAUCCGUACAUUUGUAGUUCACAAAUUGGCGUGCUAACAGCCAUCAACACCCUGUCAUCACGGAGUCACGCCUGGAGGUUUGGCGACUACAUGAGCGUGAGACUGUCGGGGGUGCCGCUAUAAAGGCUUCGGCUCUGUGUUGUUGCGAGUUGAUUGGUGUAGUGUGCUCUGUUGCCGUUGUUUGAGUGGAGUGGUGCGACCGCGUUGAUGUCCCAAUCCAACUAGUCGGUUUUGGCGGUUUAGAGUUGAGUGGUUACCCGUGUUGACGUCCCAAUCUAACUGGGCGAGUCUAGUUGUUUUUCCUUUUCUUUUUUUUCCUGACUAUAGCCUUCCAGGGCUGUAGUCUUGUAUUUUUUUUCUGCUAUGUCAAUAGAAACUUGCACUAUCUAAAAAAGAUUCAAUUUCUCAUAAUAAGUUGCCUAGGUAUGUAGGCAACCUGUUAAUUCAGGCUCUUUCAAAUCCAAACUAUCAAUCACAGCAUUAACUAAAAAUCGCCAUCUGCCAGUCAUAUCCAUCACUGUUUUCUCUGCCGGUUUUCUAAUGACUUUCUGCCAUGAAUGGAACAG
RNAcentral lists this long non-coding RNA (1362 nucleotides) under Setaria italica (foxtail millet). RNAcentral's name for it is "long non-coding RNA (SITA_LNC003795)". The record is from RNAcentral. Lineage: Eukaryota; Viridiplantae; Streptophyta; Magnoliopsida; Poales; Poaceae.